Molecule: long non-coding RNA, 622 nt
Organism: Oncorhynchus gorbuscha (pink salmon)
Lineage: Eukaryota; Metazoa; Chordata; Actinopteri; Salmoniformes; Salmonidae
Exons: 3
Source: RefSeq, a predicted model, not a curated record
UCCCAGGAUUAAGCACCGCACUGCACGGAGCCAUGCACUGAGUGUGGAGCAAAUGGUUUGUGUGGCCUUGCGCUUUUUUGCUAGUGGAGCCUUCCUGUACUCAGUGGGGGAUGCAGAACAGCUGAACAAGGCCACAAUUUGCCGCACAAUAAGGAGUGUGUGUCUGUCUGGCUAUCAAAGCAUUAGCAGAUGUCUUCAUCUCCUUCCCUGGCCACAGAAGACUCUGUGACAUCAAAGAGGAGUUCUAUAGGAUUGCAGAUGGUCUGCAAUGCUGACUGUGAUCAGCAAUGUUGUGGCAAAAUGGCCUGGCUCAGUCCAUGACUCCAGAAUCUUUCGGGCCUCUGAAAUCUAUCACAAGGUGAAUUCUCUGGUGUGUUGCUGGGAGACAGGGGGUAUGGCUGCCAGCCUUUUCUCCUGACACCUUUCACAGACCCCCAGGAAGCACAGCAGGCCUACAACCAUGCCCAUGCCAGGACCAGGGCCAGAGUUGAAAUGACCUUUGGCCUCCUGAAGGCACGCUUUCACUGCCUUCACAAAUUAAGGGUCAGCCCUGUUAGGGCAUGUGAUAUUACUGUGGCUUGUGCUGUCCUCCACAAUGUGGCCUGCCUGAGGAAGGAGAGGG